This 29-nucleotide non-coding RNA is filed under the name Mus musculus (house mouse). The record is from RNAcentral. Lineage: Eukaryota; Metazoa; Chordata; Mammalia; Rodentia; Muridae.
AGCAAAAAGUGGAAGCCAUGAUUAAGAAC